AUGGCUCAGGAUGAACGCUAGCUACAGGCUUAACACAUGCAAGUCGAGGGCAGCAUGAUCUUAGCUUGCUAAGAUUGAUGGCGACCGGCGCACGGGUGAGUAACGCGUAUCCAACCUUCCCCUUAGUAGGGCAUAGCCCGGUGAAAAUCGGAUUAAUACCCUAUGUUUUCCAAUGAGGACAUCUGAGCUGGAACAAAGAUUGAUCGCUAAGGGAUGGGGAUGCGUCCGAUUAGGUAGUCGGCGGGGUAACGGCCCACCGAGCCAUCGAUCGGUAGGGGUUCUGAGAGGAAGGUCCCCCCACACUGGUACUGAGACACGGACCAGACUCCUACGGGAGGCAGCAGUGAGGAAUAUUGGUCAAUGGACGUAAGUCUGAACCAGCCAAGUAGCGUGCAGGAUGACGGCCCUAUGGGUUGUAAACUGCUUUUAUAUGGGGAUAAAGUUCACUACGUGUAGUGUUUUGUAGGCACCAUAUGAAUAAGGACCGGCUAGUUCCGUGCCAGCCGCCGC
This 510-nucleotide ribosomal RNA is filed under the name uncultured bacterium. RNAcentral describes it as "bacterial SSU rRNA". It matches the Rfam family "Bacterial small subunit ribosomal RNA", at positions 19 to 518 of the family's 1533-position model. The record is from RNAcentral.